Long non-coding RNA from Bubalus bubalis (water buffalo), 6970 nucleotides. RefSeq annotates it as WAS/WASL-interacting protein family member 3. NCBI's taxonomy places the organism in Eukaryota, Metazoa, Chordata, Mammalia, Artiodactyla, Bovidae. The record is from RefSeq and is a predicted model, not a curated record. The transcript has 2 exons.
AUCACUGAUUUGUGGCCAGGCAGGCUCUGCCUUCUGGCUGAGAGGGCCACUGCUCUGUCUCUGGAGCCUUCUGUGGCUCCCCGACACCCUUGGUUCUACCCCAGGCCCCUGGCUGGAGCCCCGGGCACUCACUCUUCCUCCUGCACUCCAGGUGCCCCCGGUUCCCAUCGCCUGGGCCUCUGCUUCUCUGCCGGGAGCAGCAGCUCCUCCUUCCUUCCUGCUGCAGGCCCCGCACGCCUUCCAUACCCAGCUCAAAUGUCAGCCCCUCGGUGCCGACCACGUCUCCCUCCUCUAUGACCACGUCUGACUAGCCGACCUGAUUCAGCAGCCACUCCCCGCGGCUCCCCCACCGUGGGGCCCCUUGCUGGCCAGAGCUGGAGGUGGGGCUGUCACAGGGACUGAAAAAUACAGGUGUGCGAUGUCAGCAAGGUUGGGGGAAUGAGGAGGCUGGCAGGACCCGAAGCUGCGACAUCUGCCUGGAGGCAGGGACGAGGCGGCGUCUGAGCCGAGAGUGCUGCUCCAUGGCCCUGCUCAGCCUGUUGGGGGCUGCGAUGCUCGAACAUGUGAGUCCCGUCGGUGGUCUCGCCCUGGAGGAAGGUGCCGAGGCAGCCAGCUUCGACCACCUCGCGCUCCCCAGCCAGAGGGUCCCGAUCCCUAGAAGUCAGGCAUCUGAUUCCAUCUUUCUUGGACCAAAAUUAGUCCUCAUUCAAGUGCUCCCUCAAGUCAACGAACGCGGGUGCCCGCAGAGCAUGUGGACAGGAAGGCAGCCCCGCGCGGGGGCAGCAGGCUCUGUGGGCGUCAGUGCUUGCCCUCAGGAUGCUCUUCUGGAUUCAGUGCCUGUUUCCAGCAACAAGCCGCCCUGUGGCUGCGGUGAGAGCCUCCAACCUGCCGGCUGUGGCCGGACUUCAGGAUCCCCUCUACUUGAGGGCAGCGACGCAGGUCCCAGGUGCCCAGGGCCAAGACACUCCCCCUGAGAGUGCUUCACAGCUCUCCCAGCUGGUCUCUGCUCGAUCACUCCCAGCCGCGGGGCACUCACUGCCUUGGCAGCACUUUCCUGCGUUGAGGGGCCAUGGCUCUCGGCCGGCCCUUCUGUCUAUGGAGCUGAAAUCUGCUGCCCAGGGUGCCAUCCCCACCCCUCUUAUCGUGGGUCCUACGUCCAGAAGGGUGUCCUGUGUCUCCUCAGUCUGAGCCACCCCCUAAAGGCUGGGUAUGCGUCCUUCCCUAGGACUCCAGCUGAGUGACAGGCCUGUGGGGGUGGAGUCCUGCCCCCCCCCGCCGUCACUUGGCCCUGGUGCCAACCCCUGCUGCCCAGAGCAUCCCGGCUUCUCUCCCGCCCUCACCCUCAGAGGCUCCUCUUGCUUCUGGCCUGGAGUUGGUGGUGGGCCCGGCUGGGCCCUGUCAAUGGGACCUGGGAGGCCGCUGGAAGGGGCCGGACCCUUAACCCCCCAGGUCACCCCUUUCCCAGGGCCUUCCCUUGGGGAGCCAGGCUGGCGGCCGCCCCAGGCCCUGGCCAAGGACAGAGAGGAUGCCACACCACGGAGCGAGGCCAAACAGUGCACCGGCGGCCUGGCCAUGGCUGUCUGGGACCCAGCACCCCAUCAAGGCCCCCAGGCGGAAGUGGGUGGUGCAGGCAGGGGCCAGUCCCAGGGUUCUCAGGACCAGGGUCUCCUCUGAACCUGAGAAAACAGGGCUCCUGGUCACAGAGUGGCCCUCAAUGAUGGGCCUUGCAGACGAAAAUCUGAGCCGAAAGUGAGGUAUGGGCUUGGGGCUCCGAGAUACUGCCAGCCACCCUGUGUCCCUCUGUGGAGCUGGCGGCAGCCAGUCAAUGCGGGCUCCCAGAGAAAACACUCAGACACACAGACACAUGCGGGCAGCACACACCAGCACACCCAAGCACCCCAGAACUGGUUCAGCACAAUAUUUGCUCUGAGCCCAAACCAGACCCCAGGCUGGCUGCAUCCCCUGGGGCCACACAUGGGGAGGGCGGGCUGGUCCCCAGAGAGACCCCCCCCUUCCCCACAGUGCACACAGGCCCGCAGGGAGACCCCAGCCUGGACCCUGCAUGUUCACUGAGGCAGUGGGGGGUGGACAGGACCCUGGACGUGGAGCCUUCUGGAUGUGAGACGGUGGAGCGGCCUGUCUGGGGUCGAGGGAGGGACCCGCAGACCCGGGCAGCCUGGUGCAUAAAGACGAGGCGGCGGCUCCUUUCUGGAAGGCUCCAUCCCAUUUCAGGCAUCCCCUGUUGGGUGUGGCGGCCAGCAGCCCCCAGCCUCACGGGGAGACUGACCACAGGGAAGCCGCCUCACUUUCAUGCCCUCCAAGGUGCACGGGCCCGGCCAUGCAGUGUCUGACCUCAGGGGGCCUCGCCAGGCCCCAAACAGAGAAAGGCUCUGGAUCUUUACGGGAGUCACAGAGCCCUGGGGGCCUCUGGCUGACUCAGCCCACUCAGCUAUCAAAGAGCCCAGGGCUCCCUCAGGUGCGCCCUCUGCACCCACUGUAGGAGCCCCUGUUCCCCGGAAGCACCUUCCAGAGCAGGCAGAGAAAGCCCGGGUCUGCAGAGCCCGAAGGCCCCUUCUAGGAAGGAGAGUCCAGCAGGCUGGUGAGCAUCUCAAGGCCGAGCCGGGAAGCGCCUUUGCUGGAUCCAUGUGCACCUCCACAGGCAGGGCCUGGAGGAUCGGGUCUGAGCUCAAGGCUGCAGGGUCCCCACUCCCAGCCUCCGUCCUGCCCCUUCGCCAGGCAGGGUCCGCCCGGAGGGACGCGCUCUCCUGAUGGGGAAGUGGCCCGGGGCUGUGCCAGGCGCCUUCCAGAAGCGGCUGCAGAGCCCACACUGCUCCGCCGUGUCCAGACCUGCCCUCAACCCCUUGGACCACAAGGUGAGGCUGAGACCCCUGAGCCUCUAGGGGGCCCCUCCUUGUCCCAGACGGAUGCUCUGAGGCCUGUAGACCUAGAGGGCACUGGAUGGACCAGGGCCAGCACACAGAGCAUCCAGCUGGGGAAGCCUGCACCAAUGCACGGGGGAGAUCCGGGAGCUCCCAGACCGGGGCCCUCAGGACGUGAGGACAGCACCCCAGGAGGGCCAGGGUGCCCAGGAUGCUGGGCACGGGUGUGUGCCAGCCCCACCCCAGCCUGGCCAUGGGGAGACAGGACAGAGGGCGGAGGCCAAGCCCAGGAGGCGCAGACUCGUUCUAGUCCACGUUCCUCCACCCCUCAAUCACUCCCUCAGCCAUUCACUGAGUCACUCGUUCAAUUGCUUGCUCACUUGUUAACAUGCUCGUUCACUCACUCACUCAUUCUCUCACUCACUAUUUCAUUAACUCAAUUAUUCACUCACUCAUUCGUUAAGUCCUUCAUUCAUUUGCUUGCUCACUCAUUCACUCAGUCACUCACUCAUUCAUUCAUUGGGUAACACAUUCACUCACUCACUCACUCGCUCACUCACCCUGUACUCAGCCUCAGUGGACACCAGACACUGUUCCAGAUGCUGAGAUAGAGCUGUGAUCAAAACAAACUCCUCUUGUGAGGAGCUUGCGUUCCAGGAGCAGAACCUUGGGACCCCCACCCACGCUUAACACCUGGAUUGUGCCAGGUGUGGCUGUGGGAUGGGGCUUCCCCUCCAUCCUGGGGCAGCCUUGCCUCCAGCUGCGCCCAAGGAACAGAGAAGGACGCCCUCACCAGCUCCGUGCUCCGCUCAGAGCCUCGCUGACCUACCCUGUGCCCCCGCUGUGCACCACCCCCAAGGCGGGCACACACAGGAAGGGGAGACAGGCUCAGGAUGAAUGAGACAGAUCAAAGGCACAGAUAAGGCCACGCAGAGCAGGGUCUGGAAGCAUUUAGGGCCUGGGGAGGAGGGGCUGCCGCCCUGGGAGCUCCAUCUCCAGGCCAGCCUCAGCUGACUGCGCCCGGCUCCCAUCACCAGCACAGAGAAGCCACGCCGGGGUAUGGCACCCUGUCGGCAGGGUGAGGGCAUCCAAAGCCUGCUGUCCAGCUCUGUAGCCAAGUCAAACCCCCACAAGCCCUGGGGGAGCCCCUACCCCCAAGCCUCAGUUUCCCCACCUGUCAAUGGUGCCGUGCCCCCACCGGACCCCCACUGGGUUAGGGGCUCCCACGGAAGUUCUGUGGACAGAUGGGGUGGCCUGGGGAGGGAGUGGGUGGGAGGACAGGGGAUGGAAGGGUGUCGGGGGCUCAGGGCAGAGGCCCAACCUCCCUGGCUCCAUCCCUGGGGCACUUCUGUCCUGGGCAUCCUCUGGGCACUGCUGGGCACCGCUGGGGUGCCUGCCUCCUGCAGACAGCCACCCCUAGGGCCGCCUCUCCUGAGCUGCAGACUCACCUGCAUGUCCGCUCCACAUGCCCUGGAGCCAGAACCACCGCCGCCCUCGCUCGCACCUGGGGCAGCGCCAUCCAGCCACCCCAGCCGGGGUCUGGGGCCCCUUCAUGCCCGCUCUCCCUGGGGCUCAGGUCGAAUCGAGCCCGCCCUCCUGAUGAAUUCUCACCUGUGUCUCCUCUUCCCUGGAAGCUCCUGCCCACGGCCUGCCCACAGGCCGCUGUGCCCUCUGGCCCCCUUCCCCCACCUUCAGACACAUGGGCAUGUUGCACGGCCCACUGUCUCGCCCCGUCUGAGGCCCAGUCCCUCUUUGUCUCUUGCACCUGGAGCAUCGCGCGGGCUCCUGACUCUGCUCUCUGGGGAUCUCCCAGGGCCUGGCUAAGAGGCAGAGUUCUGUCUGUGGGCCAGCCUGGCUGCCCAGCUUGGAAUUCAUGCCUGCCGCCCCAGCACAGCCCAGAGGCUGGAUUCGCCCAGUGCCCAGCACCUACUUCAGGCCACUGUCAUCCUUCUCUCCAGCAACUCCAGCCCCCUCCCAGCCAGUGUCCACUAUGCCCCUUCUGGUCUGCACUUCCUAGGUCCACACCCUCCAUGUGGCCCCCAGAUUCCUGCCCGAUGGACCCUGCUGGCCCCUCCAGGGAGCAGACGCUCACACCCUGGGCAGUGGGAGCCACGGAGAGCUUUCACCCGCGGCCAAGGUGCCGCCACAUCUUCCCUGGGGCAGGGGCUGGGUGUGGGGGCGGGACCUCCUGUGGGCCUCGAUGCCCUGAGCACCCGGGUCCCUCUGUGUGGAUCUGAGCCACAAACUGCUGCCCCCUGCCCUGCCCACCCCCGUCUGCACCCUACCUGCCUCCCUCAUCCUCAUCCUCCUCUGGGCGGUCUCCCGGGUCUCCAGGGACCUGGCGGCCAAGGCUGGCCCUGGCGCCUUCCUGCCCUCCUCCUCAGCCCUCUCGCUGGCUCCAUCCUUGACCCCCAGACGCGCCGUGUCCUCUGCACUUGGCCUGCUCCUCUUCCUGUCCUUGCUGGUGGAUGUCGCCCACCGGCAGAGCUCCAGGUCUCCCCGGCCAGUCCGCUGUCCCCUCCAGUCUUCAGCCCUGAGCCUGACCCAGCAUGUGGCCAAGGGACGUCCCAGGGGACGGCCCACGAGCAGCUCGGUUUCCACCUGUCAGAAUGAGGGGUUCCCUCUCUUCCUCUGGACGAUGGAAGGGGGACAGGUGACCUGUGGGAGGAGCCUGGGUCCCGGAGUCCCACCUGGAGGCCCCGCUGAACACCCACCUGAGCAGUUACGCGAGCUGGAGGAAGGAGGUGGACUGUCUGAGAGGGUAGCUGGCUCCCCUGACGGGUUUCCCCCGCGAGGCCUCGCCAACGGCUCGGUGCGCGGCUGACCGAGCGCUGCAGGCCCCGCAGGCCAGGGCGGCCUGAUCCGCGGUCGCCGGGAUGGGUGCAGUCACUUCUGUGGCCCUCAGUCGGCGUUGUCAGUCACACAAGUUCUUAAUUUUUUCUUCCUAAGGCUACUUUUUCUUGUGUUUUAUAAAAAGGCUGAGUUUUGUGUUUUUUUUCAGGCUAUGAAAAUAAUGUAUCUUUGCAGAAUGCACCUUGGACGGUGGCGAAGGAAACUGGAGAAGAAGAAAUACUGCUCAGAACACGGAGGUGAGUGAGGCCUCCUACCAGUGCCGUCUCGGCCCUGUCUCAUCUCCGUCACUCGAGCGGUGGUUCCGGCAUUUGAAACGUUGGGGUGAGGAGGGGGCUGACGGCAGGCAGACAAUGGAACUCGGGGUUAUGACUGAGUUACUCGACGGAAGGGCCAUGAAAACCCGAGGGCAACGCGCACACGCUAGGGACUUGAGCAAGAAAGCAGUCCCUUGUGGCUCCCAGAGAGAGGUGAGCUCCAGGGUGACCAUCAGGUGUCCAAGCUGCUGGUGCGGGGCUGCCGCCACGGCCCUGCUCAGGAAAACCUGGGACCCCAACGGUGGAGCCGGGACGGCUGGAUGGACGCCCCCAGGAUGCUGAGUUUCCAGCCUGAGCCUGACGGGCGCUCUGAGUCUGCGUGGAAGCAGACCCCUUCCCUGUGAGGAGCCGGGUCCUUUCCUGGCUUCCAAGCCUGCUGCAAGCCUGGCAUCACCGCAUGACCCAGCCUGCAACCUGUGAGACCUUACCAGAGGGGAGGGAGAGUCAGACAGGGACAGACGGCGAGGACACGAGCCCUGAGUAUCAGCAGUGGGAGGGUGACACCCACGUGGCUGAGCGUGUAGGGGAGCAGGGGCUCGCCCGGCCGCGAGGGCCGACGGGACGCGCACUGCCAACCAGGCUGGCGGCUCCCGUUUCCUAUAAAUCCGUUUACGAUGCUGUUUUAGUUUCCGGUGUGCAGCAAAGUGAUUUAGGUAAAUAUAUGCUUUUUGUACUCUUUUCCAUUACAGGUUAUCACAAGAAACUGAAUACAGUCCCCUGUGCGGUCCAGCAGGUCCCUGCUUUUGGUGUGUUUUAUACGUACGAGUGUGUAUCUGCUGAUCCCAAGCUCCUACUGUAUCCCGCUCCCCUCCUUUCCCCCUUGGUAACUGCAAUUUCCGUUUCUAUGUCUGUGAGUCUCUCUCUUUUGUAUCAUUUUCUAGAUUCUACAUGUAAUUGAUACCAUAGGCUGUCUGUCUGUCUCUG